UUUCCCAGCCUAGUGCUUCAAGCCGCUGCUCUAAACCUGAUACACACACACACACACUCACUACCAACCAACUAGCAUUUCCUACAUUACCUGAUUUUUUCGAUUUCUUUUUUCUUUCGGUAAAUUGGGAAAUUCGUGGUAGUUUAGAUGUUUCCCUAAAUACAGAUAUAAAAAAGAUUGUCUGAGCUUAUUGUUACCAGAUAGGAGCAAAGGCUGAUGGAAUGGAUAGAUAGGGAAGGAAGGUGUAUAAAAAUAUGACAGACCGAUGAAAAAUGCCUUAUCUUGAUAAACUAGACAACGAGAAUGUUUGAGUAUAAGAAUAGUAGAGAUGAAAUCAUUUUAAAACAAACACCCUUUGUUAGAUAACAUUCGUAGGAAAAUUGCAAUCUUUUUCCUUGUUUUUGGUAUCAACAUUGAAAUUUAAUACAAUUUACUACCAUAUAUUCGUAUAUUGAGAAGUAAUAUCUUUGUAUUUCUUGAUAUUUUACACAAGGGUUACUUUUAAAAUCUUGUCUUUGUGUUUACAAGCGUUGAUUUCUAGAAACGUACAAAACGACGCUUAGGAUAUUUUUCGAAUAGUCAUACUUUUUUUUGUUUUUUUUUUUUUUUUUU
Molecule: non-coding RNA, 612 nt
Organism: Schizosaccharomyces pombe (fission yeast)
Lineage: Eukaryota; Fungi; Ascomycota; Schizosaccharomycetes; Schizosaccharomycetales; Schizosaccharomycetaceae
Source: the annotation of a GenBank genome assembly